GACGAACGCUGGCGGCGUGCUUAACACAUGCAAGUCGAACGGAAAGGCCCUGCUUUUGUGGGGUGCUCGAGUGGCGAACGGGUGAGUAACACGUGAGUAACCUGCCCUUGACUUUGGGAUAACUUCAGGAAACUGGGGCUAAUACCGGAUAGGAGCUCCUGCUGCAUGGUGGGGGUUGGAAAGUUUCGGCGGUUGGGGAUGGACUCGCGGCGUAUCAGCUUGUUGGUGGGGUGGUGGCUGACCAAGGCUUUGACGGGUAGCCGGCCUGAGAGGGUGACCGGCCACAUUGGGACUGGGCUGCGGCCCAGACUCCUACGGGAGGCAGCAGUGGGGAAUAGUGCAAAAUGGGCGGAAGCCUGAUGCAGUAACGCCGCGUGCGGGAUGACGGCCUUCGGGUUGUAAACCGCUUUCGCCUGUGACGAAGCGUGAGUGACGGUAAUGGGUAAAGAAGCACCGGCUAACUACGUG
This 468-nucleotide ribosomal RNA is filed under the name uncultured bacterium. Its description in RNAcentral is "partial 16S ribosomal RNA". It matches the Rfam family "Bacterial small subunit ribosomal RNA", at positions 28 to 507 of the family's 1533-position model. The record is from RNAcentral.